Transfer RNA from Hydrogenophaga sp., 74 nucleotides. It matches the Rfam family "tRNA". From Rfam's summary of the family: Transfer RNA (tRNA) molecules are approximately 80 nucleotides in length. Their secondary structure includes four short double-helical elements and three loops (D, anti-codon, and T loops). Lineage: Bacteria; Pseudomonadati; Pseudomonadota; Betaproteobacteria; Burkholderiales; Comamonadaceae. The record is from Rfam.
GGGUCUGUAGCUCAGUUGGUUAGAGCACUGUGUUGAUAACGCAGGGGUCGUUGGUUCGAACCCAACCAGACCCA